GGUAUAGCUCAGUGGCAGAGCGCCUGCUUAGCAAGCACGAGGUCCUGGGUUCAAUCCCCAGUACC
Molecule: transfer RNA, 65 nt
Filed under: Camelus ferus (Wild Bactrian camel)
Lineage: Eukaryota; Metazoa; Chordata; Mammalia; Artiodactyla; Camelidae
Rfam family: tRNA
About the family: Transfer RNA (tRNA) molecules are approximately 80 nucleotides in length. Their secondary structure includes four short double-helical elements and three loops (D, anti-codon, and T loops). Further hydrogen bonds mediate the characteristic L-shaped molecular structure. tRNAs have two regions of fundamental functional importance: the anti-codon, which is responsible for specific mRNA codon recognition, and the 3' end, to which the tRNAs corresponding amino acid is attached (by aminoacyl-tRNA synthetases). tRNAs cope with the degeneracy of the genetic code in two manners: having more than one tRNA (with a specific anti-codon) for a particular amino acid; and 'wobble' base-pairing, i.e. permitting non-standard base-pairing at the 3rd anti-codon position.
Source: Rfam by way of RNAcentral